AGGGGAAUAUUGGACAAUGGGCGAAAGCCUGAUCCAGCCAUGCCGCGUGAGUGAUGAAGGCCUUAGGGUUGUAAAGCUCUUUUAGCGGGGAAGAUAACGACGGUACCCGCAGAAAAAGCCCCGGCUAACUUCGUGCCAGCAGCCGCGGUAAUACGAAGGGGGCUAGCGUUGCUCGGAAUUACUGGGCGUAAAGCGCACGUAGGCGGACUCUUAAGUCGGUGGUGAAAUCCUGGAGCUCAACUCCAGAACUGCCUUCGAUACUGGGAGUCUUGAGUUCGGGAGAGGUGAGUGGAACUGCGAGUGUAGAGGUGAAAUUCGUAGAUAUUCGCAAGAACACCAGUGGCGAAGGCGGCUCACUGGCCCGAUACUGACGCUGAGGUGCGAAAGCGUGGGGAGCAAACA
RNAcentral lists this ribosomal RNA (402 nucleotides) under uncultured bacterium. RNAcentral describes it as "bacterial SSU rRNA". It matches the Rfam family "Bacterial small subunit ribosomal RNA", at positions 355 to 774 of the family's 1533-position model. The record is from RNAcentral.